AUCUAACAUCACGUGUUCUGCCAAUUUUUUUAGAUUCUUUUGUUUAUUGAUUUGGGUUUUAACAGCCCGAUGGUGAACCCAAUUUAUACAUAAGACGUCAAGUGUCGCCAAAUCCCAUUUAAAGCUUUCUUCUUCCCGACACAAGCAUGCUCUUCGUCUUCCUCUGCCUAGGGUUCCUACACUCCAUUACUUUUGGAGGCGACUAGUUGAACCUCUAUCUCUAUUCCAAUUAAUUUUUGUUACUCUCUAUACUUCUCAAAUCAAUAUCCAUGAAACUCUUUAUAUUCCAUUAUCUCUCGGUAUCCCCCU
RNAcentral lists this long non-coding RNA (309 nucleotides) under Brassica napus (rape). RNAcentral's name for it is "long non-coding RNA (BNAP_LNC004387)". Lineage: Eukaryota; Viridiplantae; Streptophyta; Magnoliopsida; Brassicales; Brassicaceae. The record is from RNAcentral.